RNAcentral lists this ribosomal RNA (228 nucleotides) under uncultured bacterium. Its description in RNAcentral is "partial 16S ribosomal RNA". It matches the Rfam family "Bacterial small subunit ribosomal RNA", at positions 118 to 344 of the family's 1533-position model. The record is from RNAcentral.
UGAGGAACAUGACUUUCGGCGGGGGAUAGCCGGCCCAACGGCCGGGUAAUACCGCGUACGACCACAUGGGGACAUCCCUGAGUGGUGAAAGCAGCAAUGCGCCGAUGGAGUGCCUCGCGGCCUAUCAGCUAGUUGGUGAGGUAACGGCUCACCAAGGCGACGACGGGUAGCUGGUCUGAGAGGAUGGCCAGCCANAUUGGGACUGAGACACGGCCCAGACCUCUACGU